RNAcentral lists this ribosomal RNA (372 nucleotides) under uncultured bacterium. Its description in RNAcentral is "bacterial SSU rRNA". It matches the Rfam family "Bacterial small subunit ribosomal RNA", at positions 527 to 896 of the family's 1533-position model. The record is from RNAcentral.
GUAGGGGGCGAGCGUUGUCCGGAUUUAUUGGGCGUAAAGAGCUCGUAGGCGGUUUGGCAAGUCGGCUGUGAAAACUCCGGGCUCAACUCGGAGACGCCAGUCGAUACUGCCAUGACUCGAGUCCGGUAGGGGAGUGCGGAAUUCCUGGUGUAGCGGUGAAAUGCGCAGAUAUCAGGAGGAACACCGGUGGCGAAGGCGGCACUCUGGGCCGGUACUGACGCUGAGGAGCGAAAGCGUGCGGAGCGAACAGGAUUAGAUACCCUGGUAGUCCAUGCCGUAAACGAUGAAUGCUAGGUGUUGGAGGGUUUCCGCCCUUCAGUGCCGCAGCUAACGCAUUAAGCAUUCCGCCUGGGGAGUACGACCGCAAGGUUG